GGUCAUGAGUGCCAGCGCCAAGCCCCGGCUAGCUGGCCGGCAACCCUCCUCCGCGGUGGGGUGCUCCGGGUGACGACCAGGCCGCACGCGACCGCGUGCCGGCAAGCGCGGACC
RNAcentral lists this non-coding RNA (114 nucleotides) under Pseudonocardia thermophila. RNAcentral's name for it is "SAM-IV sequence". It matches the Rfam family "SAM (S-adenosyl methionine) riboswitch aptamer". Rfam says of the family: SAM-IV is a mRNA element that regulates gene expression via direct sensing of S-adenosylmethionine (SAM or AdoMet). SAM-IV riboswitches share conserved nucleotide positions with the previously described SAM-I riboswitches sequence analysis and molecular recognition experiments suggest that SAM-I and SAM-IV riboswitches share similar ligand binding sites, but have different scaffolds. Lineage: Bacteria; Bacillati; Actinomycetota; Actinomycetes; Pseudonocardiales; Pseudonocardiaceae. The record is from Rfam by way of RNAcentral.